UGAACGCUGGCGGCGUGCCUAAUACAUGCAAGUCGAGCGAACAGACGAGGAGCUUGCUCCUCUGACGUUAGCGGCGGACGGGUGAGUAACACGUGGAUAACCUACCUAUAAGACUGGGAUAACUUCGGGAAACCGGAGCUAAUACCGGAUAAUAUAUUGAACCGCAUGGUUCAAUAGUGAAAGACGGUUUUGCUGUCACUUAUAGAUGGAUCCGCGCCGCAUUAGCUAGUUGGUAAGGUAACGGCUUACCAAGGCAACGAUGCGUAGCCGACCUGAGAGGGUGAUCGGCCACACUGGAACUGAGACACGGUCCAGACUCCUACGGGAGGCAGCAGUAGGGAAUCUUCCGCAAUGAGCGAAAGCUUGACGGAGCAACGCCGCGUGAGUGAUGAAGGUCUUCGGAUCGUAAAACUCUGUUAUUAGGGAAGAACAAAUGUGUAAGUAACUAUGCACGUCUUGACGGUACCUAAUCAGAAAGCCACGGCUAACUACGUG
This 495-nucleotide ribosomal RNA is filed under the name uncultured bacterium. Its description in RNAcentral is "partial 16S ribosomal RNA". It matches the Rfam family "Bacterial small subunit ribosomal RNA", at positions 30 to 507 of the family's 1533-position model. The record is from RNAcentral.